GAAAUGCGAUAAUUAAUGUGAAUUGCAGAAUUCAGUGAAUCAUCGAGUCUUUGAACGCACAUUGCGCCCCCUGGUAUUCCGGGGGGCAUGCCUGUCCGAGCGUCAUUGCUGCCCUCAAGCACGGCUUGUGUGUUGGGCCCCGUCCCGGGUACUCUGGUACCGGGGACGGGCCCGAAAGGCAGCGGCGGCACCGUGUCCGGUCCUCGAGCGUAUGGGGCUUUGUCACCCGCUCUUGUAGGUCCGGCCGGCGGCCUGCCCAACCAACCAAAAUCUUUUUUCAGGUUGACCUCGGAUCAGGUAGGGAUACCCGCUGAACUUAA
This 320-nucleotide unclassified non-coding RNA is filed under the name uncultured Aspergillus. Its description in RNAcentral is "sequence contains ITS1". The stretch from base 1 to 105 matches the Rfam family "5.8S ribosomal RNA", at positions 50 to 154 of the family's 154-position model. Lineage: Eukaryota; Fungi; Ascomycota; Eurotiomycetes; Eurotiales; Aspergillaceae. The record is from RNAcentral.